This 471-nucleotide ribosomal RNA is filed under the name Triticum aestivum (bread wheat). Its description in RNAcentral is "partial small subunit ribosomal RNA". Lineage: Eukaryota; Viridiplantae; Streptophyta; Magnoliopsida; Poales; Poaceae. The record is from RNAcentral.
AUGUAUACAUAUCUUGAAAGAAACAUCUCAGGUUGCAACUACCGGUGGAUCUGGAAAGCCCGUAUUCCUUUGAAAAUUUAGAUUUCCAUGUGGCAAUUGUCGCAGGAUGCGGUGCUAACUAGGGACAUGAUGAAACAUCGUGGGUGGAAAGGGGAACCAAAGUGCUCGUUCUGCGGGGAAAGGGAGACUUCCCAACACCUAUUUUUCACGUGCCCUGUUGCGAGAGUUACCUGGAGAGUGGUGGGGUGCAUGCUGGGCACUGAACAGUGCCCUAACAAUUUGUGGCAGGCUUAUGUUUGGUGUCAUGUGUUUUUACCGGGGGAGAUGUCUUUUAUACGGCUGGCAUUGCGGCCAUUUGCUGGGCUAUCUGGACCCGUCGUAACAGAGUUAUUUUUGAACAUAUUCCUCUCAAAUCUCCGUUUGAAUGCAUCUUCUCUGCUUGUGCGCUGUUGUGUUACUGGGCAGGUCUGA